Molecule: long non-coding RNA, 769 nt
Organism: Schistocerca americana (American grasshopper)
Lineage: Eukaryota; Metazoa; Arthropoda; Insecta; Orthoptera; Acrididae
Exons: 2
Source: RefSeq, a predicted model, not a curated record
UAUGGCGACAGCCACUUGUGAUUUGUUAAUGGCAUUGAUCGCAUGUAGCGUGUACGAUAAUGAGUUUAUGGAGAGAGAUUGUAGGCACGCUUGUGGACAGUGCAUAAAGUACAGCGAAAUGUGAAAAAAUCAAAGAUCACAUGUGCAAGACGAGCACGUUGUUACAACCUAUAAAGAAGUGUUUUAUUCCAGUCAUCAGACGGAAAAAUUGUGGAAGGUGUGACUUUACUGAGGAUUUUGGAUGAUGUGAGAGACUCCAUCCGUACUGAAAAGUCACCUUCAAGGGAUUUCAUCAUCAGUGACAGUCGGCACCUGACAAUGAAGUGUUGACUAUGUGUGUGGCCUCUGAUCACACAUACUGUAAGACUGAACUUGAUCUGCUCUUUACUCACAUAAUGGUUUAUAGGACCUUUGGGGAAAGUUUCCAUAUAAAAAUGAGUAACGCAUAAAGUUUUUAUGGUGAUAUGGAAAUUCAACUGUUGUUAAUAAAGAAAGCAAAUGACUUGCAUUCCUUGUGUCUGUUCAUACCUUUAUCCUAGUAUAUAAAACUAACAAACUUUAACUGAAAUAUGCCAUUGCUACUUUUCAUAAUUAAAAGUAUCAGUAUCCACUGAAGUCCUGUGUAAAAGUGAAUACGUAAACACAGUAGUACAGUAUUGUUAGUUUUCUGAAGACCUUCACUCUGUACUGCAAUGGAAUUUUUGCAUGUGUAUUACUCAGUUGUGGCAAAAAUGCACUAAAUAAAAAAUAGCAAAAUGUUGAACUGGAA